RNAcentral lists this ribosomal RNA (440 nucleotides) under uncultured bacterium. Its description in RNAcentral is "partial 16S ribosomal RNA". It matches the Rfam family "Bacterial small subunit ribosomal RNA", at positions 338 to 795 of the family's 1533-position model. The record is from RNAcentral.
CCUACGGGAGGCAGCAGUAGGGAAUAUUGCUCAAUGGGGGAAACCCUGAAGCAGCAACGCCGCGUGGAGGAUGAAGGUUUUCGGAUUGUAAACUCCUUUUGUUAGAGAAGAUAAUGACGGUAUCUAACGAAUAAGCACCGGCUAACUCCGUGCCAGCAGCCGCGGUAAUACGGAGGGUGCAAGCGUUACGCGGAAUCACUGGGCGUAAAGAGCGCGUAGGCGGGAUAGCAAGUCAGCUGUGAAAUCCUAUGGCUUAACCAUAGAACUGCAUUUGAAACUGUUAGUCUAGAGUAUGGGAGAGGUAGGUGGAAUUCUUGGUGUAGGGGUAAAAUGCGUAGAGAUCAAGAGGAAUACUCAUUGCGAAGGCGACCUGCUAGAACAUAACUGACGCUGAGGCGCGAAAGCGUGGGGAGCAAACAGGAUUAGAUACCCCUGUAGUC